UGCCAGCCGCCGCGGUAAGACGGAGGGUGCUAGCGUUGUUCGGAAUCACUGGGCGUAAAGGGCGCGUAGGCGGCCUAGAUAGUCAGAUGUGAAAGCCCAGGGCCCAACCCUGGAACUGCAUUUGAUACUCCUAGGCUAGAGGUCGAAAGAGGAGAGUGGAAUACCCAGCGUAGAGGUGAAAUUCGUAGAUAUUGGGUGGAACACCAGUGGCGAAGGCGGCUAACUGGCUCGGUACUGACGCUGAGAUGCGAAAGCGUGGGGAGCAAACAGGAUUAGAUA
RNAcentral lists this ribosomal RNA (279 nucleotides) under uncultured bacterium. Its description in RNAcentral is "partial 16S ribosomal RNA". It matches the Rfam family "Bacterial small subunit ribosomal RNA", at positions 506 to 784 of the family's 1533-position model. The record is from RNAcentral.